AUUGAGCUGUAGGGAAGGGCGCGUGCGUGCGUGUGUGUGCGUGUGUGUGUGUGUGUGAGGAGAAUCAAAGUGAACGGGCUCUUAGCUCUCGGGCUAACAUUAGCUGGCCACCGCCGCUGUCCCGGAUCUGCGCGCGCGGUUCUCCAGCAUCGCUCGUCAUGUGAACGGAUCCGAGAUGUCGCUCGCCCCUUAAAUCACUUUCUGCACCACCGAAAGUGACUGCUGUCCUCAGCCCAUCUGUUUGCCUGCUCUUCACCUUCAGCCUCGGCCUGGUCUGUGAGCAGUCAUGACCAAAUCAUACCAGUUCAACUGGCAGAAACACAUUCCUGACUUCCUGCAGGAAGGA
Sinocyclocheilus grahami is the source of this 346-nucleotide long non-coding RNA. RefSeq lists it as uncharacterized. NCBI's taxonomy places the organism in Eukaryota, Metazoa, Chordata, Actinopteri, Cypriniformes, Cyprinidae. The transcript has 4 exons. The record is from RefSeq and is a predicted model, not a curated record.